UGCUGCUCUGCCAGUGCUGAGUGGAAUCUAAAUUUAGGGAUGCACAUGAGUUAUGGGGCAUAGUGUCAUGGGAAUGCUGCAAAGGAACUGGAAGAAGAGCUCUUAGAGCUUCUUUACCAUAUUGCUCCAGAUGGUCCACGUUCUUAUGGAAAGUCUGAUUCUGGAAGGAAUUGUCAGCUCAUGCCAUCCCAUCUGAGAAAUUGAGUGAUUAUAGACUCCUUUUUCAUGGCUCUGUUUCAUUAAGCACCAGAGCUCUUUGCUAAUAGUAUGGGCCAUAUGUUGCCCUCACUAAACAGCACAGUGUGGAGCAGAGGAAUAAGAAUACAAGUGAGAUGAAGCCAGAGUAAGCAUGACAAGUCAAAAAAGAGGACAGACCAACUUCCAUAACAAGAUGAACAACAGAAACUCCACUGGACAAUGGUGAAUGACACAUGGGAGUUCAGCCUUUGAAAGCCCAGAUUAACUUAAUCCCAGAGCCUAUAUUUUGUUUUAUGAUUCUCUUCUGUUGGUGAUCUGAAAAUUCAGACUUCAUUGAAGAUUUACGAUAAGAUCUUUGAAAAAGCCAACCAGCCAUGAAAUAGAACAAUGAUCUGUUCUUUUCUUUCUGACCAGAUUAGUACAAAGCAUUUUGCUUAGUACUUUGUACUAAUUUGCAAAUUUCUCCUCAUACACAGACUUCAAUUCAAUUUAUUGCUUACUACUAGAAUCUAGUGUACAAAUUGAGAUUGUCUCAAAUAAUCAUCCCCUUUCCAAAAGAUUUACAGUGGAGCUGAAGGAGGAGAAAAAGUUGAUGACAAUGAGAAAAAGUUGGAGAUUUAAUGCAUAAUAACAAUACGUGCUUUUACUAAGGCCUCUAGAAUUUAGCAGAGCAUAAUUUCUACAGGACAUUGCAUACCAUCCAGGAAAAGCAUUCUAUUUAAAGGUAUCAAAUAAUCUAAAAAUAUUAGAGAUAUGUGGCACAUACACACCACAAUUUCCACCUUAUCAGAAAACAAGAAUGGCCCAAGAUUACCCAAGGCAGCUGUGGCAAAAUAGAGUGAUACUGAAAACAUGUCAAUCUAGAAAAAGAGAAAGAUCCUUUCAGCCUUUACCAACUGCAUGGUUACAUAUAUAAAGUCUGAAUAUCACUGAUUUAGAAAGCCUAGGGUGUAAGUAGAUUGGUUUCAUAAAUCUUCUGUGUGAUAAACAUUCCGUUACUUCCUACAGUUUUACCUUUAUUUCAGAGUUGGUUUCUUCUGUCAAAGGCUGAACCAGUCUUUGAUGUUAUAUAAAGUAUAUUUUUCAAUUUAAAAAUGCUCCUAUUUGUUCUCUAUUCUGACAACUUGUGAUACUAUUUUCAACUACAUUUAUAAGAAGAAUCUUUUGUUUCUAUCUGUCCCUUCUCCUGAUCAGUGAUAUUUGGUGAUGUACCAAUCAUAAAAAGUAUCUAAGCACUAAGAAGUCACAUGCAGGUGUCUCUUCAACUAUUUUAAAGAUUUAAAUAUGUCUGCAUACUCCUUUUUUCCCUUCUGACAUUUUUCCAAAUAUUCUCAUAAAUUAGUUUUGUGUGUGUGGUUUGGUUUUUUUUUUUCUCUAGGGCUAAAAUAGAGCUUCAGGGUUUAGGGUUCCUCAAGGCAUUGUGGCAUAUUUUCUCAUAUAUGGAAAACACAGAACAGCACAACAUAACAGCUUUUCAUGGCAGUGUUUUACAAGUAAUUCUGUCUUCUUCAUUUCCUCCAAAUCUCUUGCAUGAAAAGUAUUGCAUCCUAGUGACCGGCCUUGAGCCUUAAAGAGAAUUUAGUUAUAUGGUUCUGAGCAUAUAAUCUCCCCCAAAUCUCUUUGCCAAAUGGGUGUCUAAUUUACAUUCCAAAUUACCUGAAUUGCAUGCAUAAAUGAGCUAAUGAAACACACAAAUGUGUAACUGGUCAUAAAUAGUAAUUUCGACGUGCAAUUGCAGUAAUUGCAUUCUCCUCAUGAUUUUGAAAACCAGAAUCUAAUGUUAAUUCGAUGCUAGUUCAUCUUGUGUAAUAGUUAUAUUUAAAGAUUAAGUUUAUCACUCAGCAAAUGUGUCAGCCUUGUUCUAUUAUGUCUUUUUUCCAUUAUGGUUAAUUGACAGAUAUCAGAGUUCAACAUUGCAGGGACUUCUUUCUUCUGAUUAGCAGGGUUCAAAUAUUUUCCUAAAAUAAGCAGGACAGCAAAUCUAAAAAUAGAUUUUUAUCUUUUUCAAAAUUAUCACAAUUUUAUACUCCUUUAAACAGCAUGUUUAAAAAGAAAUAAUCAUUUAAGGUAAUGAGUUUUUUGGGGGAAAGACAUAAUAAGUCACAUAGCAAUUUUUGUCCAAAUGUUCUUAUUCACAAUAAUCACAUUACAGAAAUAUCUAAUUAAUUUAACACUUUGUUUCAGUCAUGGGUCCUGGCAAAACCUAAGCCUCAUUUCCUGUUUUCAAAUGCAGGAAAUUUUGUAGCUCUUGUUACUUAUUCUGCUGCCACCCCAUCUGCUUUUCUCUUAGACUGCAAUUGUUUUUUGUGUAACGUAGAACUAAGAUCUCUUUGAGGGAAAUUAUCAAGUGCCAUGGUGUGUCUGAAGGACUCAAGUGUCAUAUGAAAAUUGCUACAUAAUUACACAAAAAGGCUCAGGUGUUUUGUACUAUGAAAUUGUAUGGUGUAAAGACCAAGAACAUAUAUUGCAGUUGUAGUUCUAAGUCCACAGACAUUGUUCAUCUUAAAACUAAAAUUAGUAUUUCAACCACUUUACUGCAAUGAUAAGACUAUAAACAAUAUAAUUCAAUCACAGGGAUUAUGUUUUAAUCGUUUGAAUGUAAGAUCUGACUUUGUGUUUCUCUUUCAGUAGUUUUAACAAUAGCAACAGGGUUGAUAAAUAGAGCCACAUUCAUUGUUACAAAUAAUGCAUAGAAAAACGACUGAAUAAUAAUAGCUGAAAGAAUAAUCCAAAGAAUAUUAAGAUGCUAAUGUUGAUUGUGUUUAUAGUUAGAUAGCAAGUUAUGGCUGAACGCCAUGCAAAGCAUUUUACAGAUUAGGCCUCAAUCCUGUAAUCUGUUUCACUCAGGAAAUGCCCCAAGCCAUCUGUGAGACUGUUAUAAAGAAUAUUUACAUUUUAUCAUACAUAUGUCAGUAUGUCAUUCCUGUCCCAGGCCUA
Long non-coding RNA from Parus major (Great Tit), 3135 nucleotides. RefSeq lists it as uncharacterized. The record is from RefSeq and is a predicted model, not a curated record. The transcript is spliced from 4 exons. Lineage: Eukaryota; Metazoa; Chordata; Aves; Passeriformes; Paridae.